GACGAACGCUGGCGGCGUGCUUAACACAUGCAAGUCGAACGGAAAGGCCCUGCUUUUGUGGGGUGCUCGAGUGGCGAACGGGUGAGUAACACGUGAGUAACCUGCCCUUGACUUUGGGAUAACUUCAGGAAACUGGGGCUAAUACCGGAUAGGAGCUCCUGCUGCAUGGUGGGGGUUGGAAAGUUUCGGCGGUUGGGGAUGGACUCGCGGCUUAUCAGCUUGUUGGUGGGGUAGUGGCUUACCAAGGCUUUGACGGGUAGCCGGCCUGAGAGGGUGACCGGCCACAUUGGGACUAAGGUACGGCCCAGACUCCUCCGGGAGGCAGCAGUGGGAAAUAUUGCACAGUGGGCGGAAGCCUGAUGCAGCAACGCCGCGUGCGGGAUGACGGCCUUCGGGUUGUAAACCGCUUUCGCCUGUGACGAAGCGUGGGUGACGGUAAUGGGUAAAGAAGCACCGGCUAACUACGUG
RNAcentral lists this ribosomal RNA (468 nucleotides) under uncultured bacterium. RNAcentral describes it as "partial 16S ribosomal RNA". It matches the Rfam family "Bacterial small subunit ribosomal RNA", at positions 28 to 507 of the family's 1533-position model. The record is from RNAcentral.